RNAcentral lists this ribosomal RNA (589 nucleotides) under uncultured bacterium. RNAcentral describes it as "bacterial SSU rRNA". It matches the Rfam family "Bacterial small subunit ribosomal RNA", at positions 810 to 1399 of the family's 1533-position model. The record is from RNAcentral.
UGUCUACUUGGAGGUUGGGCCUUGAGCCGUGGCUUUCGGAGCUAACGCGUUAAGUAGACCGCCUGGGGAGUACGGUCGCAAGAUUAAAACUCAAAUGAAUUGACGGGGGCCCGCACAAGCGGUGGAGCAUGUGGUUUAAUUCGAUGCAACGCGAAGAACCUUACCUACUCUUGACAUCCAUAGAACUUUUCAGAGAUGAAUUGGUGCCUUCGGGAACUAUGAGACAGGUGCUGCAUGGCUGUCGUCAGCUCGUGUUGUGAAAUGUUGGGUUAAGUCCCGCAACGAGCGCAACCCUUAUCCUUGUUUGCCAGCGAGUAAUGUCGGGAACUUCAGGGAGACUGCCGGUGAUAAACCGGAGGAAGGUGGGGACGACGUCAAGUCAUCAUGGCCCUUACGAGUAGGGCUACACACGUGCUACAAUGGCGCAUACAGAGGGCGGCCAACUUGCGAAAGUGAGCGAAUCCCAAAAAGUGCGUCGUAGUCCGGAUUGGAGUCUGCAACUCGACUCCAUGAAGUCGGAAUCGCUAGUAAUCGUAGAUCAGAAUGCUACGGUGAAUACGUUCCCGGGCCUUGUACACACCGCCCAAGG